This 469-nucleotide ribosomal RNA is filed under the name uncultured bacterium. RNAcentral describes it as "bacterial SSU rRNA". It matches the Rfam family "Bacterial small subunit ribosomal RNA", at positions 355 to 823 of the family's 1533-position model. The record is from RNAcentral.
CGGGGAAUUUUGGACAAUGGGCGCAAGCCUGAUCCAGCCAUUCCGCGUGCAGGAUGAAGGCCCUCGGGUUGUAAACUGCUUUUGUACGGAACGAAACGGUCCGAGCUAAUACCUCGGGCUAAUGACGGUACCGUAAGAAUAAGCACCGGCUAACUACGUGCCAGCAGCCGCGGUAAUACGUAGGGUGCAAGCGUUAAUCGGAAUUACUGGGCGUAAAGCGUGCGCAGGCGGUUAUGUAAGACAGGUGUGAAAUCCCCGGGCUUAACCUGGGAACUGCAUUUGUGACUGCCAGACUAGAGUGUAGCAGAGGGGGUAGAAUUCCACGUGUAGCAGUGAAAUGCGUAGAUAUGUGGAGGAAUACCGAUGGCGAAGGCAGCCCCCUGGGCUAACACUGACGCUCAUGCACGAAAGCGUGGGGAGCAAACAGGAUUAGAUACCCUGGUAGUCCCUGAGCGGGCUGGCAAGGCGC